RNAcentral lists this ribosomal RNA (464 nucleotides) under uncultured bacterium. RNAcentral's name for it is "partial 16S ribosomal RNA". It matches the Rfam family "Bacterial small subunit ribosomal RNA", at positions 339 to 795 of the family's 1533-position model. The record is from RNAcentral.
CUACGGGUCGCAGCAGUGGGGAAUUUUGCGCAAUGGACGAAAGUCUGACGCAGCAACGCCGCGUGGGUGAUGAAGGUCUUCGGAUCGUAAAACCCUGUCGUCAGGGACGAAGGACUGAGUGUGAAUAGCAUUGAGUCUUGACGGUACCUGGAGAGGAAGCCCCGGCUAACUCUGUGCCAGCAGCCGCGGUAAUACAGAGGGGGCAAGCGUUAUUCGGAAUUAUUGGGCGUAAAGGGCGCGUAGGCGGUUUUUUAAGUCAGAUGUGUAAUCCCCGGGCUCAACCUGGGAACUGCAUCUGAGACUGGAUGACUAGAGUGCUGGAGAGGGUGGUAGAAUUCCACGUGUAGCGGUGAAAUGCGUAGAGAUGUGGAGGAAUACCAGUGGCGAAGGCGGCCACCUGGACAGUAACUGACGCUGAGGCGCGAAAGUGUGGGUAGCAAACAGGAUUAGAUACCCCAGUAGUC